CGAAGGGGCGUAGCGUUGCUCGGAAUCACUGGGCGUAAAGACGCACGUAGGCGGCUCUUUAAGUCAGGGUGGAAAUCCUGGAGCUCAACUCCAGAACUGCCUUUGAUACUGAGGAGCUUGAGUCCGGGAGAGGUGAGUGGAACUGCGAGUGUAGAGGUGAAAUUCGUAGAUAUUCGCAAGAACACCAGUGGCGAAGGCGGCUCACUGGCCCGGUACUGACGCUGAGGUGCGAAAGCGUGGGAGCAAACAGGAUU
RNAcentral lists this ribosomal RNA (254 nucleotides) under uncultured bacterium. RNAcentral's name for it is "partial 16S ribosomal RNA". It matches the Rfam family "Bacterial small subunit ribosomal RNA", at positions 526 to 779 of the family's 1533-position model. The record is from RNAcentral.